CGGAGGAUCCAAGCGUUGUCCGGAUUUAUUGGGUUUAAAGGUGCGUAGGUGGAUUAUUAAGUCAGGGGUGAGAGCCCGCAGCUCAACUGUGGAACUGCCCUUGAAACUGAUAAUCUUGAAUAUGGUUGAGGUAGGCGGAAUGUGUCAUGUAGCGGUGAAAUGCUUAGAUAUGAUACAGAACACCAAUUGCGAAGGCAGCUUACUAAGCCAUUAUUGACACUGAGGCACGAAAGCAUGGGGAGCAAACAGGAUUAGAUACCCUGGUAGUCCAUGCCCUAAACGUUGAUAACUCGUUGUUGGCGAUAUACAGUCAGCGACUAAGCGAAAGCGUUAAGUUAUCCACCUGGGGAGUACGUCCGCAAGGAUG
This 367-nucleotide ribosomal RNA is filed under the name uncultured organism. RNAcentral's name for it is "bacterial SSU rRNA". It matches the Rfam family "Bacterial small subunit ribosomal RNA", at positions 526 to 896 of the family's 1533-position model. The record is from RNAcentral.